AAAAAAUAUCAGUGAAUCUCAAGUCUCCAUGUCUAGCCCAGGGCUAUCCCCUGAGCUCCCGUCAAGGGAGUAUGAUCGCCUGCUGGGCUUCUGCGCUUGGUUGGCCCUCAAACACCUCAGAUUCCACAGGAUCAGAAUGGAAUGUGCUAUCAUUUUCCUGAUCCUGACCCACUGUGGCUCUUGAUGUCAGACUUCUGACAUCAUCGUUGGAAUCAUCAUGGACUCCCUUUUUGUCAACUUCCCCUUUUAAUUGAUCGCCAAGUCUUAUUGACUCUAUUAGUAUAUAAGUAACCCGGAUGUGCCUGACCCACCUGAAGUACCAUCUUUGCCCAGUGUAGCAUUUGGUAAGGAAAAAAAUUGGAAAAGUAAUGGAAAUCAUUAUUGUAGCCUAUCCCCGAACACCAGAGGGUGAUUACAUAGUAUGACACAUGGCAAAAUGGUCUAAAAGCCUCUUCACUCUCCCAUUUCCUCAAAAAAAUCUACUGAGUGAGAUGGUAGCUGCAUCAUCUCACUCAAGUUUCUCAAAACAAAGACUCAGAUCCCUACUUAGAAGUCUGGAGGAGGGUCAGAGCCUGGAAGGACUCAGACAGAGAGCACAGGUCGGCAGAGAGGCAGGCAGAGAGAGAAGAGGAAGCAGGCUCCCUGAUGAGCAGAAAGCCCGAUGCGGGGCUCGGUCCCAGGACCCUGGGAUCAUAACCUGAGUCAAAGGCAGAGGCUUUAAUCCACUGAGCCACCCAGGCGCCCCAAAUAUUCUGAUUUUUAAAACAUUCAUCUUUCUUUUGAAGUGUAACAAACAUUUGGGAAAAAAGGGCAAGGCAUAAGUAUAUAUUGAAUGAAUUUACCAGGUAAACAACCAUACAUUUCCUCUUUCCUCUCCUUCUGUAACAUUACAGAAUAGUUUUGCCUGUCUUUAUACUUUGUAUAAAUGGAACCAGUUAUGUAUUCCUUUGCAUGGCUGCCUUUGUGUCACAUUGUGUUUGUGAGAUUUAUCCAUGUUGCCAGGUACAGCCAUAGUUUGUUGCUUUUUAUUGUGUCAAUAAAAUAGUGUGUCAAUGAAUAGGAAAAUAUAUAUCUAGGAGUUGGAUUUAUAAUAAGUAGGAGGGAAAUUGCAUUGUCAGGCUUUUCAAAUUAUAGAAAUUGGUAGGUUAGUGACAUCCCAUUAUAGUCUUAAUUUGUGUUUCUGAUAGCUAAUAGGAUUGUGUUGGGGGGAUCAUUUUGGCUACUUUCUUUAGUAAAGUGUUCAAAUCUCUUGCCUAUUUUUUUUCCCCAAUGGUCUUGCCUUAUUUGUUUUUUGAAAAACAGGUAUAAAAAUAAUACUGGUCAUUUCAAAUUAAAGAAAAAACACAAAACAAACGGUGGUAAAGCCAUACAAUGGAAUAUGACUAAUCAAUAAAAAGAAACGAACUUUGUGCAAAAAAAUAAAAAACCAAAAACUAGUCAUUUCAAAUAACUGACUUGUGGUUUGGGUGAUUUUGUCCAUUGUUGAUUUGUUCUCUACUUUAUUGGUUUAUGCUCUUAUUUCAUUACUUCCUUUCACUUUCUUUGGGGUUUACUUUCUAAUUUUUAUUUUUUUAAAAAAGAUUUUAUUUAUUAUUUAUUUGACAGAGAGAGAGAGAGAGAGAGACAGUGAGAGAGGGAACACAAGCAGGUAAAGUGGGAGAGGGAGAAGCAGGCUUUCAGCAGAGCAAGGAGCCCGACGCGGGCCUCUAUCCCAGGACUCUGGGAUUGUGACCUGAACUGAAGGCAGCCGCUUAAUGACUGAGCCACCCAGGUGCCCUCCUUUCUAACUUCUAGCAGUGGACACUUACCACAUUGAUUUUUAGCCAGUCUUCCUUUCUAACAUACACUUGAAGCUAUGCAUUUACCUCUAAGCAGUACUUAGUUGCAUUCUAGAAGUUUGGAUAUAUCAUAUUUUCAUUAUCAUUUGUUCAGAAUGUUUUCUAAUUUUC
Molecule: long non-coding RNA, 1949 nt
Organism: Mustela putorius furo (domestic ferret)
Lineage: Eukaryota; Metazoa; Chordata; Mammalia; Carnivora; Mustelidae
Source: Ensembl